UAGUCCACGCCGUAAACGAUGUCAACUAGCCGUUGGGAGCAUAUAAGCUCUGAGUGGCGCAGCUAACGCGAUAAGUUGACCGCCUGGGGAGUACGCCGGCAACGGUAAAACUCAAAGGAAUUGACGGGGGCCCGCACAAGCGGUGGAGCAUGUGGUUUAAUUCGAUGCAACGCGAAAAACCUUACCUACCCUUGACAUCCUCAGAACUUGUUAGAGAUAACUUGGUGCCUUCGGGAACUGAGUGACAGGUGCUGCAUGGCUGUCGUCAGCCCGUGCCGUGAGGUGUCAGGUUAAGUCCUAUAACGAGCGCAACCCCUGUUGUUAGUUACCAGCACGUAGUGGUGGGGACUCUAACAAGACUGCCGGUGCAAACCGUGAGGAAGGUGGGGAUGACGUCAAAUCAUCAUGGCCCUUAUGGGUAGGGCUACACACGUGCUACAAUGGUCGGUACAGAGGGUUGCCAACCCGCGAGGGGGAGCUAAUCUCAGAAACCGAUCGUAGUCCGGAUUGGAGU
This 514-nucleotide ribosomal RNA is filed under the name uncultured bacterium. RNAcentral describes it as "bacterial SSU rRNA". It matches the Rfam family "Bacterial small subunit ribosomal RNA", at positions 791 to 1304 of the family's 1533-position model. The record is from RNAcentral.